RNAcentral lists this ribosomal RNA (301 nucleotides) under uncultured bacterium. Its description in RNAcentral is "partial 16S ribosomal RNA". It matches the Rfam family "Bacterial small subunit ribosomal RNA", at positions 509 to 807 of the family's 1533-position model. The record is from RNAcentral.
CAGUCGCCGCGGGAAUACGAAGGGUGCAAGCGUUACUCGGAAUUACUGGGCGUAAAGCGUGCGUAGGUGGUGGUUUAAGUCCGUUGUGAAAGCCCUGGGCUCAACCUGGGAAUUGCAGUGGAUACUGGGUCACUAGAGUGUGGUAGAGGAUAGUGGAAUUUCCGGUGUAGCAGUGAAAUGCGUAGAGAUCGGAAGGAACAUCCGUGGCGAAGGCGACUAUCUGGGCCAACACUGACACUGAGGCACGAAGGCGUGGGGAGCAAACAGGAUUAGAUACCCGGGUAGUCCCUGUCUCUUAUAC